CAGUACUUGGUCGUUGAGUAUCGGGAACUCCAAGCUGGACACUAACUUGCAAACACUGGUAACAUUGUACCGCCGCUUGCUUCUAUUCUCAACAAGCCAGGAGAGUGCUAUUCGAUCAAAAGGUACGCACAAGCUAGACGAACAAUCGCUACCUAUGAGCCAGGGGAUCCAUUCGGUAUUUUAUUUGUUUUGGGACUCCUGAAAGUGACCGACCGCUGCCACGUUUCUUCUGGAAUUAUUUUGGGCAGACACCAUGUGCAGUCAGUUAAAACUUUACACCGGUGACGAUUCAGCUAUAUACGUG
Non-coding RNA from Pelobates cultripes (western spadefoot toad), 304 nucleotides. NCBI's taxonomy places the organism in Eukaryota, Metazoa, Chordata, Amphibia, Anura, Pelobatidae. The record is from the annotation of a GenBank genome assembly.